AUAAUUUCACCUAAGUCAAGAUGCUAAGUGACUUGUCCAAGGUCACAUGACUAUUAAGAGAAAGAAUAAGACUUGUACCUACGAAACCUGACUUUGAAGCAUAUCUCCAGUCACUACCCAGGCUACCACGUGCAUUCCCAGGUCUAAACGUCUUCAGUUCAUUUCAAUGCUGUCCCUGUCAGUUCCGCUCCAGUGCUGCAGCAGACAUGGUAUGGG
RNAcentral lists this long non-coding RNA (216 nucleotides) under Ictidomys tridecemlineatus (thirteen-lined ground squirrel). Its description in RNAcentral is "lncRNA (ENSSTOG00000033362.1)". Lineage: Eukaryota; Metazoa; Chordata; Mammalia; Rodentia; Sciuridae. The record is from RNAcentral.